Molecule: ribosomal RNA, 392 nt
Filed under: uncultured bacterium
Lineage: Bacteria
Description: partial 16S ribosomal RNA
Rfam family: Bacterial small subunit ribosomal RNA
Source: RNAcentral
AUACGGAGGAUCCGAGCGUUAUCCGGAUUUAUUGGGUUUAAAGGGUGCGCAGGCGGCCAUUUAAGUCAGCGGUUAAAUCGUGGGGCUCAACCCCAUUCUGCCGUUGAUACUGGGUGGCUUGAUUGCGGUCGAGGUUGGCGGAAUUCGUUGUGUAGCGGUGAAAUGCAUAGAUAUGACGAAGAACACCGAUUGCGUAGGCAGCUGACCAGACCGCAAAUGACGCUCAUGCACGAAAGUGCGGGGAUCGAACAGGAUUAGAUACCCUGGUAGUCCGCACAGUAAACGAUGUAUACUUGUUUUCGGCGAUAUAAUGUCGGAGGCAAAGCGAAAGCGAUAAGUAUUCCACCUGGGGAGUACGCCGGCAACGGUGAAACUCAAAGGAAUUGACGGGG